GUGGGGAAUUUUGGACAAUGGGCGCAAGCCUGAUCCAGCAAUGCCGCGUGCAGGAAGAAGGCCUUCGGGUUGUAAACUGCUUUUGUACGGAACGAAAAGGCUCUGGUUAAUACCUGGGGCUCAUGACGGUACCGUAAGAAUAAGCACCGGCUAACUACGUGCCAGCAGCCGCGGUAAUACGUAGGGUGCAAGCGUUAAUCGGAAUUACUGGGCGUAAAGCGUGCGCAGGCGGUUUUGUAAGACAGAGGUGAAAUCCCCGGGCUCAACCUGGGAACUGCCUUUGUGACUGCAAGGCUGGAGUGCGGCAGAGGGGGAUGGAAUUCCGCGUGUAGCAGUGAAAUGCGUAGAUAUGCGGAGGAACACCGAUGGCGAAGGCAAUCCCCUGGGCCUGCACUGACGCUCAUGCACGAAAGCGUGGGGAGCAAACAGGAUUAGAAACCCCGGUAGUCC
This 450-nucleotide ribosomal RNA is filed under the name uncultured bacterium. Its description in RNAcentral is "partial 16S ribosomal RNA". It matches the Rfam family "Bacterial small subunit ribosomal RNA", at positions 354 to 796 of the family's 1533-position model. The record is from RNAcentral.